This 104-nucleotide small nuclear RNA is filed under the name Sorex araneus (European shrew). Lineage: Eukaryota; Metazoa; Chordata; Mammalia; Eulipotyphla; Soricidae. The record is from RNAcentral.
GCACAUGAGAUUGUUUCAGCAAAAAUUGGAACAAUACAGAGAAUAUUUGAAUGGUCCCUGAACAAGCAUUGUACCAAAAUUCACUUGAAGCUUUAAAAAAAAGU